This 69-nucleotide ribosomal RNA is filed under the name Lacticaseibacillus paracasei. RNAcentral describes it as "partial 16S ribosomal RNA". The record is from RNAcentral. Lineage: Bacteria; Bacillati; Bacillota; Bacilli; Lactobacillales; Lactobacillaceae.
CUGGCUCAGGAUGAACGCUGGCGGCGUGCCUAAUACAUGCAAGUCGAACGAGUUCUCGUUGAUGAUCGG